Long non-coding RNA from Temnothorax curvispinosus, 511 nucleotides. RefSeq lists it as uncharacterized. The record is from RefSeq and is a predicted model, not a curated record. Lineage: Eukaryota; Metazoa; Arthropoda; Insecta; Hymenoptera; Formicidae. The transcript is spliced from 3 exons.
UGUUUAAUUGUGUUAAAUUCUAUUAAUAUGCUCUUAUCUCUCGUUUAUUAACAAAAUUUUAAUCCAAUUCUAUUGAUCUGACGGCAACAUGGUGCGUCCAAAUGCGGAGGAAUGAUUGUCAAAUAAUUUUACGUGCGAUUUCGUGACAACUAAUUUUACAAAUGAUGGUAGGUGUUACUAUGUCUCUAAAAAGGUGUGGUGUAGUACCUCGUUAAGUGAAACCGAAGGGUUAGCGUGUCUUUCUUACAUAAAAGCAGCAACAGCGUGAGAGAGUCGGUCGCAAAAUGAUUAUAUUAUAUUCCUGGAUUAUUCUAUUUACUCUUGGUAAGAAAUUUAUUAUUUCAAUUUACGAUGCGCAAUUAAUUUUGCUGUACAAUAUCCCUGGUGAAAAAUUUUCUUGAAAUUCUGCACAUCAUAUUUCAGAACUCUCAUAUAAAUUUUAUAAUUUUUUAGAAAAUUCGUUAGACUUUUUAUACAAAUGGAACACUUCAAAAAUGUUGAGAAAGUCUAU